UCCCUGGUGGUCCAGUGGGUAACACUCUGCACUCCCAGUGUAGGAGGCCCAGGUUCAAUUGCUGGUCAGGGAA
Molecule: transfer RNA, 73 nt
Filed under: Muntiacus reevesi (Reeves' muntjac)
Lineage: Eukaryota; Metazoa; Chordata; Mammalia; Artiodactyla; Cervidae
Also listed under: 2 other names
Rfam family: tRNA
About the family: Transfer RNA (tRNA) molecules are approximately 80 nucleotides in length. Their secondary structure includes four short double-helical elements and three loops (D, anti-codon, and T loops). Further hydrogen bonds mediate the characteristic L-shaped molecular structure. tRNAs have two regions of fundamental functional importance: the anti-codon, which is responsible for specific mRNA codon recognition, and the 3' end, to which the tRNAs corresponding amino acid is attached (by aminoacyl-tRNA synthetases). tRNAs cope with the degeneracy of the genetic code in two manners: having more than one tRNA (with a specific anti-codon) for a particular amino acid; and 'wobble' base-pairing, i.e. permitting non-standard base-pairing at the 3rd anti-codon position.
Source: Rfam by way of RNAcentral